RNAcentral lists this ribosomal RNA (181 nucleotides) under uncultured bacterium. RNAcentral describes it as "partial 16S ribosomal RNA". It matches the Rfam family "Bacterial small subunit ribosomal RNA", at positions 1318 to 1500 of the family's 1533-position model. The record is from RNAcentral.
GCAUGAAGUCGGAAUUGCUAGUAAUCGCGGAUCAGCAUGCCGCGGUGAAUACGUUCCCGGGCCUUGUACACACCGCCCGUCACACCAUGGGAGCCGGUAAUACCCGAAGUCAGUAGUCCAACCUCGUGAGGACGCUGCCGAAGGUAGGAUUGGCGACUGGGUGAAGUCGUAACAAGGUAUC